RNAcentral lists this ribosomal RNA (253 nucleotides) under uncultured bacterium. RNAcentral's name for it is "partial 16S ribosomal RNA". It matches the Rfam family "Bacterial small subunit ribosomal RNA", at positions 524 to 776 of the family's 1533-position model. The record is from RNAcentral.
UACGAAGGGGGCUAGCGUUGCUCGGAAUCACUGGGCGUAAAGGGUGCGUAGGCGGGUCUUUAAGUCAGGGGUGAAAUCCUGGAGCUCAACUCCAGAACUGCCUUUGAUACUGAGGAUCUUGAGUACGGGAGAGGUGAGUGGAACUGCGAGUGUAGAGGUGAAAUGCGUAGAUAUUCGCAAGAACACCAGUGGCGAAGGCGGCUCACUGGCCCGGUACUGACGCUGAGGCACGAAAGCGUGGGGAGCAAACAGG